Long non-coding RNA from Numida meleagris (helmeted guineafowl), 10347 nucleotides. RefSeq lists it as uncharacterized. The record is from RefSeq and is a predicted model, not a curated record. NCBI's taxonomy places the organism in Eukaryota, Metazoa, Chordata, Aves, Galliformes, Numididae. The transcript has 3 exons.
CUAUAAUAUUUCCCUCUUGGUUGUCCCGGGUAAAACUGAUGGAUAAAGAGGUAUAUUAGUUUGAAACUGGCUUUUAACCAACCAAAACAAGCAAUGCUAGCAUAAAGUAUCUUACACCAAUACAGUGCUUGAUUUUUCUGCCAUAAAUGUACCUGGAAGAAAGGGCACCUUUUCUGAUAUGCUUAUCUCCACUUCAGAAGUACACUUCAUGGCGUGACUUUGCCACCGUGUACCUAUAUAAUUUUUUUCCCUAUAACCCAGUUUUCUCCUCCUUCAAUCUGGUGGCCACUCUAGCCAGGAGGUAUCCAGAAGGAAAGAUUGCACAAAAGUGAUGAGAUGGUUGUUUAUGCCUCUGCCCUGGGAUAUAUCAUGCAGCCCAAAACUGUCCUGAAACUUUUUCUGUUGAUGUGACAAAUUGUAAACUCAUGUCCAAUUUCCUGUGUGCUAACCCUGCAAAGUCUUUCACUGCAUUUGGGUCUCCUCCUCCUAUAGGGUGUCUUAAUUUUGGAAUAUUUCCUCCCUGGACAUAUUAGUCUGUGUGUCCUUCGAUCUAGGUCAUUUCUCCCCAGAUCCCGCGUCUUUUUUUUUUUUUUGACCUUUUGUGUUAUAUUCCACUCCUUGCCAGUGAUUGCAUCUCCUCCCCAGUGUAGUAUCAAUUGCAGUUUUAAUAAAUGCUCUGUCUAAUGCUUUUUCUAGAUCAUUAAUGAAAAUGGUAAAUAAAGCUUAGGCUAAUGCCAGUUUCUUGUAAUAACCCUACUGGAUGUCUCCCUGCUUUGUGACAGUUUGUCGUUGAUCACUAUUCAUCACUGAGCCUGAACGUCAAUGUCCCUAUGUGGGGUAAUUUAUAUUCAUUUAACAUAAUUCAUCACAGAAUCAGAGAAAAACAUAGCAAGGAAGGACCUCAAGAGAGAAAUAUUCCUGACAUUUCCAGCCUGCUGUUAAACGUCUGCAAGGAGAGAGGUCUCACAUCCUUCCUGGGCAGUCAUUCAUGCACUUUGGCCUUCCCAUUUUCCAAGCGUCUAAAUUUAAUCUCCUAUGCUGCAACUCAAGCCUGUUGUUUCUUGCUUCUUUCACAGUGGAUAUAUUUGGAGAACAGUUUAUUCCCUCCUUCUCUGGAGAUAUACUUUGCACUGUUGAAUAUUGUUGUGUCUGCCCUAAUCUCCUUGCUGAGGUAAACAACCUCCAUAGGACAAACCUUUCAUCAGAAGUCCUGUUCCCCAGACAUUUGAUCCUACUUUCUUCUGGAUUCUCCUGAGAUGGUAAAGGUUGCCUCAGUGCUGGGUAAAGCAGAAGGUUCAGCCACGUGCUUCACAGACUCAGCUCCUCUCAAUAUGCCCUGGUAUGGUAAUGUCUCUGUGUAUGACAAAAUGGCCAUUUUUGUUCAUUUCAGGUUUCUGAAUUGCUGUACUGCUCCACAUCUGCCCAACAGGUUGUCUCUUGUUUCGUCCUAGUGCAGCUGAUUGUACCUACAUCUAUGCACAGCUUUACUUCCCUCCUUAUUGAGUUACAUCCUAUUUUUUUCAGACCUUUCAUCUGUUACAUCAAGAUGAUUUUUAAUUCUAAUCCUGUUCUCUCACAUCCUUGUAGCUCAUCUCAGCUUGGUGCCAUCUGCAUACCUAAUAAGGACGCUUGUUAUUCCAUCAUCUAGUGGUUAAUAAAAACAUUGAAUGAAAUGAGAGCAGGCUGGAGCCCUGUUGAACCCUACCCAUCCCUCCUUAUGUUUUGCCAAUGACACCUUCUUUCUGAGUACAGUUUUCCUACCAGCUUUGCCUUCUUUUCUCAGAGGGACUGCCAAGGUCGUGUUUCCUUAGCUUCCUUCUGGUAAUGUGAGGUGAGGCAGUACCGAAGCCCCAACUAAAGUCAAGAUGUAAGACUUCUGCUUUGCCUCUAUCCACAAGCCCUGUUGCACGAUGAAAUUAGGUCAAUUUGAUAUGAUUUGCUCCUGGCAAAUCAGCGCUGGCUGUUCCUCUUCUCUUUGUUGUUUCCUAGGUGCUGAUGAUUAGUUAGCUUAAUUAUUUGUUCCAGUGCGUUUCCAGGAACCGAAAUUGAGCUGACUGGCCAUAAUAACUGCCUUGCUCCUCAUUUCCCCUUUCUGCAGCCAGACAGCUCUGCAAGGAGCCCUGUGGCCCACAAGAGCCCCUCCUAGGCCAGCCCCUUCUCAGCACUCCUCUGCAGUUGUGCCAAAGCAAUUCUUUCCUUACCCCUCCUUUGACUACUGCUUUAGAGAUAGAAUACUCUUCUGCUUGUCUUCCUGUUCGGUGCUAGUUAUGCCUCCUUUCUAUGCCUUUCUCAGUUUUAUCCCUACUUGUGUGUGCUGAACUUUUGUGCCCAUCCUUAGUCAUUUGUGCAUCUCAAUUUUCUGUUGGCUUCCUCCUUGUCUGCGAGGCCACUGCAGAUUUAAAGACUUGGCAAGCUGACCUUGCACUGUGUUUUUUAACCUUCCUUUGCACUGGCAUGACUUCAUGUUUUUGCCAUUGUGUUGUUUUUUUUCUGCAGAAGAUCCCAGCACUCUUGAAAGUCUUUGUCCUGGAACUCGUUUCCCUGAGAUCUGUCUUACCAGUGUGCUGGGUUAUGUGGGAGUAUCCGUGGUGCUCAGAAAAUCCUCUUAAUGGGAAAGUGUAGAAAACAAGACUUUCAGCGAAGUUGCGGGCUUCACCCACUUCCAAGCAGACUCCCAACCUGGGCAUACUUCUUGUUUCCUCUUUGUCUCUUAGCAGAAUUAAGUGCCACAAGCCAAAUUCUGACCUCAUUUACACCAGUAAAAUCUGAGUCUGUUCCAGAAAACUGCUGAAGUUGUUUUGGGCUUACAGUGAUGAAAAUGAGAGUGGAAUCUGCCUCAUUAAUUCCCCCAAUCCACAGAAAGUAAAUGAAUCCAAGAGGAAAUAGCUCUUCAGAAGGGAGCCCUGGAAAGAAUUAGAGACUGACUUAAUGGGAUUAAGGGAGGAAAAUACUUUAACAAAUCCAAAUCAAUCCUUUCUUCACAACACUCACAAUGCCAAAAUAAAUAAAAACAUUGUUUUGGGAAGGAAAAGGUUAAAAAGCUAUGAAAACAAAGUCUCUUAGCCUGUUCUGAUGAUAGCAGUCCCAUAGCAGAAUGAGCACAACCCUGAGUCAGCAGUACCCUACCUGAUGCUUGGUGUUUGUCUGCAGUACUCAGAGAGUGGAAACUCAAAUUUCCCACUUUAACCAUGGGUCCUUCUCCAAUUUCAGGUUUGAUAAAAGACGCAUGGAGACCAGUCAGCAUCACAAGCAGGGAUGGAUGGACAGGUCUGGCAGCCAGAAGCCUUUCUCCUUGUCAUCCAGCCAACUAGACAUCCAGCCUUCAGAGCCAUUUCACUAGUCUGUGCUUUGACUUUUUAUUCUCCUGCUAAUUACCAUCUUCUCAUCAUUCUUCACCCUCUCAACACUGUCUAUGGCACUAGAGCUGGAUUUGCCACAAAUAUGUGUAAAAGACCCUGCUCCUGAGGUGUUACAGGAUGUUUCAGGAGCUGCACAUUGAUGGCCUGCCUUUUUGCAGUCACGUGGAAGGAGGAAACAUUAUGAGCAACUGGCAGGAGCCAGCCUCUUCCAGCCAGGCAGGUACAGCUGGGUGGUGAUAGAGAGAAAACCGGGAAGGAGCGUAAGGCUCAUCUUGUGCCCAUUUGUAACAGCUGGAGGCAACAUGAGCUGUUACCCACAUGUAUGCACUGCCUUCUUCCACCUCUGCCCAACCAGGUGGCUUUCUCCAUUUUCCCAGCCACUGUGGUCAACCAGACUGAAGAGCUAGGACAAAGUAAUUAGACCAUGGUCAGAUUUUGAGUAGCUUUUGCUCCUCUGUUUAUAUCCAAGAGCGCACCAUUAUCAAAGGCAAUCCUGCACCGAGGAUGCUGACUUUCUAUUCUGAUAGUCUGAUGAUCUUUGAGGAAGAGCUGGGCUUUAUGCAAAGACCCUCAAGUUCCAAGAGGCAAUGAGGAGGACUUCCAGCCACCAGGGCCAAAGUCUCGCUGGCACUGCCCUGGCUUCCUCUACUGGCAUGUCCCUGGUGGAACCAUGAUGCAGGUCACUUUGCAUAUCAAAUGGAGUGGUGGUCCAGCUCAGAUGGACAUUCCAUCAGGAAGAUGAGGUAUGCUCACUCUACAUCUUUACAACUGGUAUUGUUGGAAGAUCAGAGUGUUGUUCUUUGUGUUGUUUUUCCUGAACUCUGUGCUUCCCAAACUCCUCCGAAAGCAAUGAAUGUAUUCCCAUGGCAACAGAAGCACAGAGGCUGGGAACUGAUCUCAGCAGGGUUCCUCCUCUGGCAAUCCCCAGCCGGUGUAACUCGAGCAUCUCUUGCGCUGGCAUAGGUAGCUGCUGAGGAAGGCAUCAUUUUGGGGUUGAGUUUCAGGAAGCAGGAUACACAGUCCUAAUGAGCCAUAUCUCAUCCUCUCUCUAAUUUGCUAAGUCUGUAAUUGCAAGUGCUGUAAAAUAGAUGGGAGGGGGAGAGUGCAGGGGAAUGCUUCUGCCUCUUCUUCAUCUUCCUGGACAGGGGGAAAACCCAGGACUGAGGUGGCAUGGGUGCUGCCUGCAGGUUGAACAGUCUACAGCCAGACUCACCUUGUGAGCAGUGCCAUGAUGCUGGUGGGGAAAACACUGCAUAAAGGAGAAAGCCAGAAAAAGUCAGGGGGCCUGCGGAAAGCCCCUGGCUGCCUGGAAGGGCCACUUAGCCUGGAGUGACAAAGCACGUUGGAUCUCACUCUUGUCUCUUUGCUCAUGGAGUAGAGGCUGUGAGUGGGCAGUCCUUCAGCUAGUGCCUGUGCAAUGGGGGCACACCUGCUGCAGCCCCGUGGGCUGGGGGCUUGCAGCUGCAGAAAGGUGCCAGCACCGAAAUCCCACUGCAUUAUCCUUGCUGUUAGCUUUGCUUCUUUAAGCUCUGUUCAGCCACUGUUUCAUUCUGGAAGCACCUUAAGCCCCUCCAUCAGUAGAAUUUUGCUAGGAAGAUGAUGGAUUCCCAUGGGACUGAGAUCCAGGUGUGGGGUACAGCCAGAGCACCUCUAACCAAGCCCUGCCACUCCUCCUCUGUGGCAGCUCAGACUGUGCUCAUCAGGAGAGGGGAAGUUGGUAGGAAAAACGUCGGGAAACUUCUAGAGGUGCUAAUUAAGCAACUUUAGGUUAUAAACAUUUUUAAUUGGACUAGUUUUUGGUGUCACAUAUUACCUCUUGAUGAGAAGAGUCCUAAAAUUAAAGCUGUUUUAAUCUCUCUCCUGUUCCUUCUCUCUCCUGUCUUUCUGGUUGCAAAGCAGAAAAAAUUCAUUGACGGUCCUUGGGCUUUGGCGAGCACUGCUAUUUUUAAGGUGUUAAAUUUGAUUUACUUCAAAUCUGACCCGAAACUCCACACUGGGACCAGACCAUCUUUAUCAGUGCUGUAGCUAACUUCCCAUUUUUGCAUGUAGAUUUUAAAGGACAGAUGAAAAUCAGGCUGGUGAGAGACACUAGCUCACCCCCACCUUAACUAUGAUAGCACUGUCCUUUAUUUUAACCUUUGACCCAGAGAUAUUGAAGCACAUCACUGUCUUCUUAUGAUAAAUGGAACGUCAUCAUCCUUUCUUCUUUUUCUUUUCUUUUUCUUUUUAGUAACUGUUUUUUAAACGACAGAGUUGGUCUUGUAUUGAAUUACAAGAUCCAAACACCACCCAUUUUCCCUUUGUGGUCCUUCAUCACUGUCACGGGCCAGCUGAUAUUCUCCAGCCUGUAUGGGAGCUGGGGUUGCAGUCCACAACAGGCAGGUCGUGCCAUGCUCUGCCCAGGGAAUCACUGAAGAAGUCAGGUUUCAGAGUUCCCUGUUUGAACUGGUUGCAACUUCAGCAGUACCUACUAGUGUAUCUCUUGUGCAAGACCAGUUUUAAACCCGUGCCUCAAAAUUAAUGGCUUUCUGAUGGCACAGCACUACAUGAGCAUGGGGGCCAAGUGGAGAUGAGAAGCUCGCAAGUUCAGGAGUUUUCAAGGGUGGUGGGAAGGUGCAAAGCCGCUUUGGGACUACCUGAAAGGACAAAAAAAAGCAAGAUCUCAAACCAUGGCUGGCUACAGCCAGCUCUCUUCUCCCUCACAGAGGCUGUCCCCACGCUUUGUCCCUACUCUGCUGACCUUCCAUGGUUCCUUGUCAGCCCCACAAGCCGCAGUGCGGGCACAGAGGGUGGGAGCCUGUGGCCUCCUGCAUGCCCCUCCUGCCUUCCCACUAGCGGCCCUACUCCCCCUGCCAAAGGGUCAACACUUUCUCAAUUCAGUGCCAAGGCCGGGUGUUUCAUAACUUGCACAACUCUCAUUUGCUUGAGGAUUUUUCUGAGGGGGUAUUGUGCCAAGAGCUGCACUGUAGAUGUUUUAUUUCACUUCCAUAAGGCUGCUUGCCAUUUUCACGCUAUCUCACACCAUCGUGGAGCGUACUGUAGGUAAUAGAAACCUUUAGUUUUCACAGAUGAUGGAUGGCACAGUUUGCUUUGCGAGCCCUCCUCACAGGCAGCAGAGCCUGCAGCCUCUCCACAUGCAUAAGGGAAUGCAUCUCCUUGUGGCAGACAGUUUGCCAUGAAAUCUCCUGGAAGUGUUCCAGCUCUGCAUGCUCUGCCGAGAGCCCAUGCUUGAGUAGCUUUGUGCUGGGCCUGCUGCCUCCCAGCCGACUGUGCCCCCUGGGCUGCCGUUAGAAGGAGAGGCAGCCCCUCUGAGGGAGCUGUUCCAAAAUGGCUGCCCAAGUGCAGUCAGGCCCUGUGGCAGCAGCCCAGGCCCUACAGCAGAGCUUGGGCCUUAUGAGCCUGCAGGGAAACAUCACCUAAAUCUGGGGGGAAAUCCUGAAAAGCCCUUUGUGGGGAGUGUAUUUUUGCAACAGCCUGUUUCCUCCUUUCCUCUCCUUCCUUUCCCCACUGCUUUGUCUGCUAAAUAAAACAACCUACAUUUUUGACCUGAAUUACUUUAAGUGUCCCUGAAGGCAUGUACAGCUACUAGGACUGUGGGAAGGUUUUCUUCUCUAGUGCAGUUAGAUAGCGCUGUUAGAGACAGGUUUCAGGCUUGAUCCCCCAGUAUGAGUGCUGUAUGUAUGUUUUGGUGUGCAGACAAUCAGCCCAUACAUUUCUGUAGCACUGUCCAUUGUAGAGAAACUUUGGCUGCUUUAUGAACAGGCGCUGAUCCUGUGGAGGAAAUCUUACCCCAUUUCUGCACACGAGACGCAGGAAAAGCUGGGACCCAAAUCCUUGCCUCUGCCUCUCUGCUGCUGGGGCUUGGGGGGCCAGACCCCAUGCCCCUCAGGAGCUGUCUGUCAGCCCUGAGUGCGUUCCCGCUCUUACUGCAAGUUCCAAGUGAGGGGUUUUCGAAAGGACAAUGAAAUUGCUCAUUUUGGCCUGUUUUAGCACCCUCUCCUAUAACACGCAUGGCAGGCCUGGCUGAAUUAAACCAGCCAUACUAAUUUCUCUUGUUAGAACAGCCCUGUGUAACGCACCAAAUGCUUGGCUUUGGAGGAUGAUAUUACAAAGAAGGACACUGUAAUUUAGUGGCUCAUUUAAUGUGAACCAAGAGAAAUAUGAGGCAUGCCAAUGCCGCACUGGAGCUCUAUUUAUAUCCUUUUUGGUGUAUGGUAUGAUUUAUAAUAAAAGAUCAUUUUUAUAUAGUAUUAGCGUGGUAAUGGAGCUUACUAGGUUACCAUGUCUGAAGUUAGGAAAUAUUGUAUUAGAACAAGCUCUGCUAACACAGUGUAAGAAUAGCCCUUUCUUCAGUACUAAAUCAUGAUUCUAAGCUUCUUAAAAUAAAUAUUAAUGCGUUCUGUUUACCUAGGAUGCUGGGCUUUUAUGAAUGCAGCACUAGGACCUUUGUGUCUGAGCUCAGAAGCUGUUACGUGCAACCUCAUUUAGCAGUUGCCAGCCUCCCCACUCAGCACCUCUGGUGAUUUUGCUCACCCGGAGCAUUGGCUGUGGGGGCCCAGGAAGAGGGAGAGGAGCAGAAAGCAGAAGAGCUCUGUUUGGCCUGUGAGCAUGCUGUGACAGACUGAGGAUUUCUCUCCUCCACCCCCAAGUGUACGGCCAGCAGUGGGGUGCUGCUCUCUGAGCAGGGGCAUGAGGACAUGGGGAUAGACGGGAUGUUGGCAGGGAGGAGGAGGAAGGAGCAGUGUUUACCCCUAGGAGCUUUUCUGAAGGCCACACAGCGAGCGAGCGGUGGAGCCAGGAUUAGAGUGGAGCCACUCCUGGCACCUUGCCCUCAGAGUGAUUCAGAGCUUGUUUCCAAAGCUAGAGAGCUGGUUGAAGUUUCAUUUGUCUAUCUAGACAGCAGCGUGCUCUGCUUCCCAUUUAAAGCUCUGGAGCCUCAUGGUGAUUCAGAGCACAGGCAGCAGUCCCCCUGCAUGCUGGUUCUGAUGCCAGCCAGCACAGUGCCUCUGAGUCUUCAGUGCUGUCAUGCAGAUUGCAUAAGCAUCAAAGUGGGUCUAAAGACAAGGUGGGAAAUAAUCAGCUGGAGGAUUCCAGGGAUAUGGGGAACUGUCAUAGACAUGGCCGCACCAUGGCAAAUGUCCCUUCUGCUUGAAGCUGUGAUGUUAGAUGUCAAAAUGGAAGGUGCAGGAGAAGGUGGCAACCCUGCCAUCCUGGUCUGGCAUGAAGGAGUGAUAGCCACGAGCAGACCUCCUCUGGUGCCAUCCAUAGCAGCAUGUGCCCCAGCCCAGUCUCUCUCCUGCUCCACCCAAUGCCACUCCCUGUCCCCAGCCCAUGCUGCCUUGCUGGAUAGGGAAAAACUCUGAUUGCUCUCAGGGCCCCCUGGGGACAUGGCCAUUAUUGCCAGCUGAGAAGGUGACACACAGGAGCUGACAAAGUGAGAGCUGACUCUGCUUCCCACUGAGCCAACCUCAGUGAGCCCAGCCACUUUGAAUAAAAAUGAAUUAAGUUGCCUGGCAGUAACUUGGACCAUAUUUUAUUAACUUGGACGGAACUGAGUAACAUUAAUCCACCUCCCUGAAAUUUCUUAUUUUACAGCCAGGUUCUAAUAUAUUAAAAUGUGCUGGCAAAGCUUUUGGUGGGUUACAAUCCACUUGUCACCAAACAACACAUAGCCUGUCAUUACCACUUAGGUAGGGGCUGAGAGGCAGUGAGCGCUCAGGUGAAUUUCUGCAGCAUCCCACACACCUGACCAGAGCAUCCAGGGAGUGGGUGGCUGCUUUCCCACCUGCAGCUUGUAAUGUAACCUCACAAAGUCACCAGCAACUUGCCCUGCAUGAUUUUCUGGGUGACAAAUGCCUGGUGGCCCCAGGCUGGCAUAGGCCAUCUCUGGCCCUGGGGGUGCAUCACUCUGCAGGGGUGCUGUCGAGGGAUAAGUCUUUUCUUAGAAUCACAGAGUCAUUAAGGUUGGAAAAGACCUCUGAGAUCAUCUAGUCAAAUUGUCAACACGUUACCACCAUGCCCACUAAACUAAACUUUGUCUUAGCUCAGCAAAAAUGCCCAAAGAAGUCUGUACCUUAUUCUGAGCCUCAAUUUCUCUGCAAAAUUGGGGACAUCCUUCUGGACCACUAGGUAUGAGGCCUCCAUUCCAGUCCCAUCAGAAACUGGAACAGGCUCUGUGCUCUAGCUUGAAGCCCUAGCAAGAAGUACAAAUGCUCUGCCUUUCCUGUUUAUUAGCAAUAAUAAUCCUAAUAAUAUUUUGCACAUCAGUAAGAGCUUCCAUCUGAGGAAAUUAAAAGCACUUUGCAGGCAUUAAUGAUUUAAGAUGCUUAGCCCAUUUCUGAGAGAAGUAGGGAAAAUCAUCCUCAUUUUUACAAAUAGGAAACUCAAGUGAACCGUAGUCAAGUAGCUGUGCAGGAAGGCAGCAAGGAGACAGGUGAGAGCCCCAUCCCUGUGGCUUCUGAGCCCUCCAUGCUCCAUGUGGCUGAGCCACCUGUGGAGCUGCCAAAAGCUGCACUGGGAGAGAAGGAUGCAACAGGAUGGGACAGAGCUGGUGCUCGUGGCCCUGUCUGUGCUUCCUUGGGCUGGCUGCAGGCACUGCUGCCAUUGGCCCUUCAGGGCCAUUACAGGGAGAAGAAAUCCUGUUAUAAAUAGUCAGCUGAACUCCAGCUCUCUGGGCAGUGAACUUUUUGUACAUAGCAGCCUUGUAAAAUGAAACUACCCCAUGCCUCCCUUGGUGGAAAAAGAGAGCGAGCUGGGACCACACCUCUCCCAUUCUGCGUGUAAAUCUGCCCGUCGGGACCUGGCAGCACUCGCCUAUUUAAAUGAAAUACUCAUUAUAGACAUGGGACUGCUGGGUGGUUGCUCGUUAACCGUUUGGGGCACAGCUUGAAAUAGCACGCCUUGGCCUGGGCCAGGGGCUGAAACAGGAUUUUCCACCUCGCAGAGCAACCAGAUCUCAGCUGCCUGCUUCCCUCUGCUAUGCAGAGCU